GACGAACGCUGGCGGCGUGCUUAACACAUGCCAGUCGAACGGAAAGGCCCUGCUUUUGUGGGGUGCUCGAGUGGCGAACGGGUGAGUAACACGUGAGUAACCUGCCCUUGACUUUGGGAUAACUUCAGGAAACUGGGGCUAAUACCGGAUAGGAGCUCCUGCUGCAUGGUGGGGGUUGGAAAGUUUCGGCGGUUGGGGAUGGACUGGCGGCUUAUCAGCUUGUUGGUGGGGUAGUGGCUUACCAAGGCUUUGACGGGUAGCCGGCCUGAGAGGGUGACCGGCCACCUUGGGACUGAGAUACGGCGCAGACUCCUACGGGAGGCAGCAGUGGGGAAUAUUGCACAAUGGGCGGAAGCCUGAUGCAGCAACGCCGCGUGCGGGAUGACGGCCUUCGGGUUGUAAACCGCUUUCGCCUGUGACGAAGCGUGAGUGACGGUAAUGGGUAAAGAAGCACCGGCUAACUACGUG
This 468-nucleotide ribosomal RNA is filed under the name uncultured bacterium. RNAcentral describes it as "partial 16S ribosomal RNA". It matches the Rfam family "Bacterial small subunit ribosomal RNA", at positions 28 to 507 of the family's 1533-position model. The record is from RNAcentral.